This 253-nucleotide ribosomal RNA is filed under the name uncultured bacterium. Its description in RNAcentral is "partial 16S ribosomal RNA". It matches the Rfam family "Bacterial small subunit ribosomal RNA", at positions 524 to 776 of the family's 1533-position model. The record is from RNAcentral.
UACGUAGGGUGCAAGCGUUAUCCGGAAUUAUUGGGCGUAAAGAGCUCGUAGGCGGUUUGUCGCGUCUGCUGUGAAAACUGGAGGCUCAACCUCCAGCCUGCAGUGGGUACGGGCAGACUAGAGUGCGGUAGGGGAGAUUGGAAUUCCUGGUGUAGCGGUGGAAUGCGCAGAUAUCAGGAGGAACACCAACAGCGAAGGCAGAUCUCUGGGACGUUACUGACGCUGAGACGCGAAAGCGUGGGGAGCAAACAGG